Long non-coding RNA from Esox lucius (northern pike), 2280 nucleotides. The record is from Ensembl. Lineage: Eukaryota; Metazoa; Chordata; Actinopteri; Esociformes; Esocidae.
AAAAAAAAUUACUUACAGAAUUAAGUAACAUUUUCUUUUUAAAUGUGUGUAUACCUCUAAAUGCAAAUGAACUAUCUACACUGUCAAAUAGAAGCAUUUUAAGGAGAUGCAAAUGAAGAUGAAAAUCACCUACACAGUACAUUUAUUUGCAACCAUGUAUUUCAAAGAUGUUAAAACAACAGCAUCUAAAAGGGACCAUAAGAAUCAUAUAGUAAAAAAAUUUAACAUUUAAAUGUGAUUUAAUCUGAUGUGUAGUCAGUUGUGAAAGUAUACACACAAUUUUCACAGGCUUCACAUUUGCUGCUAUAAAACUAAAAGGGAUAACAUUAGAUUUUUUGUACAAAUCUAAACAACCUACUCCACCUUUUUCAAAGUAAAAAGGGAAUCAUAUAAAGUGGCUCAAAUAAAUAAAAAUUAGGAUGUAUCGGCCGGUAGACUUCAAACCCAAUAAAAACUUGGUGGAAGCACCUUAGGCAACCAUUACAGCUGUACAUCUUUCAAAAAUUUCCCAACUUUCCUGCACAUCUCUUAGGAGUUUUUUGGUGACAUAUGCAAUCAACAUAUCAGAUUAAGAAAAUAAAAAAUGAUUAAAUAAAAUGAGAAUGUUCUAACAUUCUUGAACUUUCAACAUGUGGAUUAAGUUGCGUAGAUAUAGGAAAAACCAAAAGUAACUAAGAUGUACGAAGUUACAGACCUACACGCAUGCAUACACUGACAAACCAUUUAUAUCAUGUAUUUAUACUAUAUAAACAUUUCCAAAUCCCUACCAAUUUAAUAAGGCCUUGUUCAAUUCUAUUUUUCCUUGUGGCACUCAAAAUAUGUUAUUUUGGAUAACAAUGAUAUUACAGGUGAAUAUGAUCCCUCAAAUGCUGUGUUUCACUGGCACCCAGUGGCCAUUCUGUUAGCCAACACCAGUGAGAUAGAUCCUAAUAGCAGAGCAAAGCAGAAAUAGAAAAAUUACAGUUUUUCAUCAGAAACGCUAAAUAGAAAAAUUAUUUAAAAAAAACGGAAAAUCACAUUACGCAACGCAUUAAACAUAACCUCACAGAAAAUGUUAAAUGGCUGGGGGAAAACAGAUUCGUACACACAUCUGACUAAUCUCCACUUACAACGUGAUUAUUUUGCGAGUCAUGCAAGAAGAAUGGUCUAUUUUUUGUCAUUUUUCUUUAUCUCACAAUGAACUGAAAAACACAGUACAUUACAAUACCACAAAAGGUAAGUGUGAAAGGCCAUUCCAUUGAACACUUUCCAUUCUUGUCUGAAGGCAACAGCUUGCAUAACACAAGACAGUUUGUGUCUAGGAAUGCAACAGGUUAUUGAAGAGAGUGUAUGCUCCAAUUCUAAUACUUUAUAUUUACCGAUAUUCUGUACAUGCCCUCAGGUUUUUUUAAUCCAUCUGCAAUCGCUAGGAUUUCUUCAUUCUCUGAGUUUCAAUAGAGUACAGAUGGAAUCAAAUUAUCUGGCCUCAAUAUGGUUCUGUCAAUAGUGGGGAAGGGGUGAUUAUGUCAAGGAUGUAUGUCAAGGGACAAGAAAGAAAAACUUGAAAAAAAGUAUAUAAUAAUAAAAAUGGGUUUAAUACAUCUCUGCAUGCAUAUCAUCUAAAGCUGUAGUGGUUUCUCUAAUCUCUUUAUAGACCGAACAGCUAAUCUCUUCAUUUACUGGAGUGGGUUCUAUAAAAAAAGCUGAAUUAACUUACACUUUAAAGACCAGAUCUGUGCAUUUGGACCUAUGCUGCUUCAAUAGCAUGGAGGGCAUGGCGAAACAGCAGUUAGGGCUGGGAGGAGUGUUGCUUGUUACAGUUUUGUGAACAUUAGCGUUACUGUGGUAAUUAACGUUAUGUAUAUUUCAGAGAUUUUUAUAUUUCAGAGAGUGUUCUUUCAGCCUGUGUUCCUCAGACAACCACUGUAUGAUUCCUAUGUUAUUUGGGAGGAAUACCCAGUUCUGUUAUGCAUGCACGCAAGAAAAGCAUAUACUUCAAAAUAUGAAAGGGAACUGCUAAUCUCAAAAAUGAGGUAUACAAAUCACUUUAGGCCACGUAACCUUUUCAGGAUUUUUUUUGCAUUCCACAGUGUGGGUGUUACAGUUGUCAUUUUAUAGUUGUACAUAUUUGUGAAUAUACAUUUUCAUAAAAAGGUCAUCAUAUUUGUAGUGGUACUGCUAAAUUUAGAACACUUGAAUAGCUAGUGUAACUUUUUAAUUUACUUUUUGUCUUUCCUGUGCUUUUAACAUACAAUCUUUAGUAUUAAAAGGUAUGGAAAAAACAUUCACUCUCAGGUUACU